Molecule: long non-coding RNA, 273 nt
Organism: Amblyraja radiata (thorny skate)
Lineage: Eukaryota; Metazoa; Chordata; Chondrichthyes; Rajiformes; Rajidae
Exons: 3
Source: RefSeq, a predicted model, not a curated record
GAUUAAUCCGGAGUCACCGCUUCCCUAUUUUAAGCAUGUUUUAAAAGUAUGUUUUAGUGUUUCAAGGUUUUUUUUGCAUGGGGGGGGGGGGGGGGGGGGGGGAAUUGGGGGAAACUUUUUUUUCAGGCACUUACCUCGACGGAGAUGCGAUUUUUCUCCUUUGCGAGGAUCGCCCGUGAGGGGCUCCAACCUCGGGGCCUGUUGGACUUUAACACCACUGCCGACUCGGGAGCUCCAUGCUGCGGAGUGUUCCAAUCGAUCCCGACGCCGGAG